UCAGGUUAGGUUGCUAAAGCUUAGAGUGGCUAGCGCCUUAUCCAAAUUUACAUAUGUGGAAAAUGAUGAAGCUGAAAUUUAAACUGUUCUGACUCCAGAACCUGCCUGCCUGCCUCUAUGCUACCAUGGCAACCAACAAAUGUUUGUGGAAUAAUAAAUGUCAUUGUACACAUUACCUUGCUUUAUGUGCUACUGUCAAAAUAAACACUUCAAAGCCUUCUCACUCUUUGUUAUCUGUGAAGCCUAAACACUCCUGGUCAGAGACAAAUGCAAUUAUUGAAUGGGCACCCCUGAUGAAAGGCCAUUUAGAGCCUCCCAAAGGACAGAAGAGAGAAAACCUGAAGCUUGGAGCUCUGGACAGACAAUGCAGUUGUCCCACUAGCAGCUCCUUUCCAAGAGGACAGAUUCUGAAUGAAGCCACUACACUCCAGCAUGGGUGACAGAGCACAACUCCACCUCAAAAAGAGAAAAAGAGAGCGAAGCAUUAUGGUAACCACACGAUGCUCAGGAGGAACUAGUGCGUCCUGGGCCCCUACUUCCUUAUAUCUAAUGAGACUUGGCUGUCUUCUUCGAGUGUAGCCCCAGCCUGGGGUACAGCACCAGGAAAGAAAGCCUAGCCAGAGAAGCUUUCACAGUCUCAUUGUUACUACUCUGAAAAACAAUAUGGAUGACACGGUACCACCAGUUUCCCUGGCUCCAGCAAAGUUGGUGCUUGAAGCCACAUCCACUAUAAUUGUCACUGAAAGCUACUUGGAGACAGAGCCUGCUCUUGGCUGAGACAUGCAGAGAAGGAACAGGGCAGAGAAGAACUUUGCUUGUAGGGAAAUAAAAAGGUAGCAUCAGGACCCUGAGAGCCAGCUGGCUUUUAAACAAUUAAGCUCACUUGGGAAAACAAAAGUUAUAUCUUACUAUACUUUCUACUAUGACAGUUCUAACUGGGGUUUUCUGGCUUUCUGUUUGGCACUGGGUUUGGCCAUUUAGGAGGUUGAUGAUCAAGAGGAUUCUAGAAUUAUGGUGGGGGAAAUGAACAAUCUAAUCUACCAUACUGGAUUAUAAAUUCAAAUGUACAGAGACUAGGUGUGUUUUAUUCACCAGUGUAUACUCACCAGAGUAGGGAAUGAAUGGACACAUGCAUACUAACUUUCUAGAAAUGCCUUAGAAUCUCAGGUUGGAAAGUGACCUGAAAAUAUCUACCUCAGCCUCCAUAAAAUUAGGGACCCCUUUUACAACAUUCUUGGCAAGAGUGCAUCCCAUGUCAACCAGCUCACUAAUCCUUUACCUCACUCUAGGAAACAUAUUUCAUAUUCAGAUGGCUAUGAUUUUUUAUUCACCCUUACCCUGAACAAAAAUCUUUCCUUCUUCCUGAAAAUUGGAGACCCUGGUCCUCAUUCUACUCUCUGGGAAGCCAAAAGUAAGUCAAGGCCAAAAUAUCAGACCAUUUUAACAAGCCAUCCCUUUGCAUAUCAAUUGUCUUGACUCUACUCCAAGUUUAAUAUACCCUGUUCCUUUAACAAUGUUUGACAUUAUUCCAAGUUCCCUGGCCAUAGCAUUUCCAAUAUUCCUUAGAUCCAACAUGUGACCUAAAGAAUAUUAGUAUCCAAGUGUUACCCAAUCAGUUUAGAAUGGAGCAGGACUAUCCAAUCCCUGGUCUGAAGAGUCUUGACAUAAUUCCAGCCCAAAAUGAGAUAAGCAUUUAGUCAGCAGAAAAGACUAUUUAAAAAUUACCUAUGAAUAAGCCCCCUAAUGCUGAAACAUUUGUUCACUCAUUCAGCAAGCAUUUACUGAGGACCUAAUACAUGCCAUGCGCUGUACCAGAUGGUGAAUAUACAGAGAUCAUUCCCACCACUGUAAAACUUGAUUAUAGUAUACAAUGGAAGCUACUGAAGGCUUUCAAAAAAAAAAAAAGGAAAAAUAAAUAAAAAUUAUUUUAUCAUUACUCAAUUCCUUUCCUAUCAAAUGAUCAAUAUGCCUAGGAUCUUCUUGGUACCCAUCUUAUUUUCAUGACCUUUUAACACUCUGGCCCAAGAACCCUCAUUUAGUGUGGGGUAGUGAGUGGAAAGGGCAUUUGCCUGGAUAUCAGAACUUGAUUCUAGUCUUGGCUUUGCCAGUAAUUUGC
This 2116-nucleotide long non-coding RNA is filed under the name Macaca mulatta (Rhesus monkey). RNAcentral describes it as "lncRNA (ENSMMUG00000049306.1)". The record is from RNAcentral. Lineage: Eukaryota; Metazoa; Chordata; Mammalia; Primates; Cercopithecidae.